RNAcentral lists this long non-coding RNA (404 nucleotides) under Salvia miltiorrhiza (redroot sage). RNAcentral describes it as "long non-coding RNA (SMIL_LNC003262)". The record is from RNAcentral. Lineage: Eukaryota; Viridiplantae; Streptophyta; Magnoliopsida; Lamiales; Lamiaceae.
AAAAUCCGUACGUGAAAAUGGUGGGGAUAAUAAUAAAACAUUUUCAAACUGCGUGGUGACGCACUUGCCUUAGCCACCGGUCUCCGCUGCCUUCAAUUCCUCAAUAAAUUAAUUUCGCCUUAAACUGUUUUAAUCAUUUCUUACAUUCGCACUUCCUUUCCAUUUCCUUUUCCCUAUUUGACCAAACCAGCCUUUUCCAUUUCACGCUCACCGGCGUUUCUUCAGCUGCUGCAGAUUCCAAAUAGGCCCAGAAAUCGCUGGACUCCAUUCGCCCGCGGCUCAAGGUCUCAAUUUCAUUUCCUUUUUUUCUUUUUUUUCUAUUGUGUUUUCCAUAUCUAUAAAGUCCAGUCCUUUUGAUCUUGGGAUUUGAGAGAAAGAUUGAGGAGUUGUGGGUUUUUUGAGGG